AGAGUUUGAUCCUGGCUCAGAACAAACGCUGGCGGCGUGUCUUAAGCAUGCAAGUCGAGCGGCAAGGGCAGCAAUGCCCCUAGAGCGGCGGACUGGUGAGUAACGCGUGGGUGAUCUACCUUGGGCAUGGGGAUAGCCAUUAGAAAUAGUGGGUAAUACCGAAUACGUUCGUUACCGUGAGGGUAACGAGGAAAGGCGCUACGGCGCCGGCCUGGAGAUGAGCUUGCGUCCGAUUAGCUAGUUGGUGAGGUAAUGGCUCACCAAGGCGAUGAUCGGUAGCCGGCCUGAGAGGGUGUACGGCCACACUGGGACUGAGAUACGGCCCAGACUCCUACGGGAGGCAGCAGCUAAGAAUAUUCCGCAAUGGACGAAAGUCUGACGGAGCGACGCCGCGUGGAUGAUGAAGGCCGAAAGGUUGUAAAGUCCUUUUGCUGGGGAAGAAUAAGCGUGGGAGGGAAUGCCCGCGUGAUGACAUGAACCGGCGAAUAAGCCCCGGCUAACUACGUGCCAGCAGCCGCGGUAACACGUAGGGGGCGAGCGUUGUUCGGAAUUACUGGGCGUAAAGGGCAUGUAGGCGGCUUUGUAAGCUUGGCGUGAAAUUCCACGGCUUAACCGUGGGAAUGCGUUGAGAACUGCGAGGCUUGAGUGACGGAGAGGGAGCUAGAAUUCCUGGUGUAGGGGUGGAAUCUGUAGAGAUCAGGAAGAAUACCAAUGGCGAAGGCAAGCUCCUGGCCGAUGACUGACGCUGAGGUGCGAAAGUGUGGGGAUCAAACAGGAUUAGAUACCCUGGUAGUCCACACUGUAAACGAUGUACACUAGGUGCUGGGGCGGAUGCUUCAGUGCCGUAGCUAACGUGAUAAGUGUACCGCCUGGGGAGUAUGCUCGCAUGGGUGAAACUCAAAGGAAUUGACGG
RNAcentral lists this ribosomal RNA (913 nucleotides) under uncultured Spirochaetota bacterium. Its description in RNAcentral is "bacterial SSU rRNA". It matches the Rfam family "Bacterial small subunit ribosomal RNA", at positions 8 to 916 of the family's 1533-position model. Lineage: Bacteria; Pseudomonadati; Spirochaetota. The record is from RNAcentral.